UGGUUCUUGUCCUCGGUAAGCAUGAGUUCUUUACCUCUUGAUAGUAUUACAUAGCUGAACCCUUUUGAUAUCUGGGUUUUGUUAAUGACCUUUCACUAUUAAUCUCAGGUGUGAUUGUUUUUAAAGUAAACAUACAUUUGUUCUGUUUCUGCUGUAUUGGAUAAAGACAUUAUAACUGAUGCCAGUUUAUUUAAUCUGGAACUAGAUGUGAGGGAUUCACGUAGCUCAAAUAUCAAGGCUUCUUAUUGAAUUUCUGUUCCUAAUUCCUAUAUUAUUUGUGCCUUAA
Molecule: unclassified non-coding RNA, 286 nt
Filed under: Hevea brasiliensis (rubber tree)
Lineage: Eukaryota; Viridiplantae; Streptophyta; Magnoliopsida; Malpighiales; Euphorbiaceae
Source: RNAcentral